Long non-coding RNA from Strongylocentrotus purpuratus (purple sea urchin), 2750 nucleotides. RefSeq lists it as uncharacterized. NCBI's taxonomy places the organism in Eukaryota, Metazoa, Echinodermata, Echinoidea, Camarodonta, Strongylocentrotidae. The record is from RefSeq and is a predicted model, not a curated record. The transcript has 3 exons.
ACUAUACAUGCUCGCAUCUAGUUUCAUGCUAUUUCAAACGGGAGUGUGUACGUCUUUGAGUGUGUACGUACGUGUGCAGGUACGUACAGUAUACUCAAGGCAAGGACUACACUGUACUGCACUAGAACUGUGCGCGCGAUGUGUAUAUUUGAAUUCAGAGCGAAAAACCCGUUGCAUGAAGUAUCAUCCUCUCGUUUUCUCCUGCAAAUUUACAGUAUGGGCAUCCUUUUUUAACAUCUUUCGUCAAAGAAGUGGAUUCAAAGCACAUUGUGACCUCAGUAUUAUUGAUGUGCAACCAUGCAGAAAAUGCUACUUUCUCUCAACCUUGUGGAUGUUCCCUAAGGAUCAGCAGCCUCUUGAAACAGUUGAAGCCAUUAUCGAAUUCCUUGCGUCUAUGUUCCUUGGAUCUGAAAGCAGUGCAUAAUGCAGGAGAUUCCACCCAAAAGCUAACCCACAAGUCCAAGCUGAAGUGGAAUAUUUCGAAAAAUUUGAUCUACACUCACCUGAUAGCUUUACUGCUAGAGAAAGGUUAUUUUUUUCACUUCAUCAUAGAGAGAGAUUGGGGGAGGGGUGAGGUGUAACCACAAACCUGAAUGGCUAAGCUGUAGAACUAAAAUUCCCAUUCAUGUCACUUGCAAUUUUAAUGAAUUACAGGAUUUACAAACUGACAUAACGAUUUGGGUAAAAGUCUAAAAGAUUCCAGUAUUUUCCGUAUAUUUGUAAUUACUAUUUAUGAAGUUGACCUGUUUCAUAAUGCUUAUGUAGUAGACUUGAUAUGCUCAGUCUCAUGCUCACCCCCCCCCCCCCCACCCCAUCUGCUUCAUAUCAGUUCUUAAAAUCUGUUGCAAAUUAUACAUUGUAAGUUGGUAAUAGAGAAAAAUUGAGUGAGGUAAAUGCAAUACAAAUCGAUUCCAUUAUUAAGCAAUUAAGACUUGUUCAGGUACGGCACGUGAACCUCCAACAAAUUUCAAAAAUGAUGCUCUUUUUAAUAAUAUACACUAUGUAAAGCAUAUUGUACUCUAUGUCAACAUUAAAAAAACUGCGAUUUUGACUGUUUUGCAGCAUCAUAUCUGAGCGACCCUUAAAGGGACUUGGCAACAUUGUUCAGAUGAGAGAAAAUGGUGCUAAGGUAUUGACUUCAAUGCUAUAUGUACACUUAAAGAUAAUCUGAAAGUUUGAGUGAAAAAAACCCAUUAUUGAUGAUAAAAAAUGGGAACAACUGAUCUGAUCCAUUCCUUAAUUCUCUUAACUAUAUUAUUAUAAUUGGCCUGUUUUAUAUCUUAUUUUCAUGGAAAAACGGUUGGGGAAAAUUCAAAAAUUUGUUGGGAGAAUGAAGUGUUAAAGAGUGACACACAGUGGCGCCUUCAAAGAAAACCAUAAAUAUCUUUGUGGUUUGAGAAUUUUUUGGUAGUUAAAAGUCUAAAAUUCUUGGAUUGUAUCUGUGAUUUUGAGAGCACUAUAUGACGUACCUAUAUUGAAUUCGCUGUUAAAAUUAUAAGUUAAAAUUAUUUUUUUGUGAAACUCCCCCCAGGAGUUUCAAACGUGCCAAAUGAAUGUUGUGACAUUAGCAAUGGAAUAUAUCUCUUUGUGCUAAAAAUUUUCAGCAUGUUUGCUAUUUUAUCUUAAACUUGGAAAUAUCUUCUGAAUAAUUAUUGCACAGUCACCUUGGAAUUGCCCAACAGAGCCACUCGUACUGGCGGGAAUGUUAUCUGAUAGAAAUUGUAUUUUUAUACUUGAACUUAUUUUGCAACAAAAUGUUUUUUGAUGAUACCUAUAUUUAUAAAAUAUGAAUGUUGCCACUAAUGCCUUUUCUUGUAUUUAAGUCAUGUGCCAGUAAGAAGCAGGUUUCUAGCACAGAGAAUAGGUACAGUUGAGCUGAUUUCUGCACAGUUUUCAAAUAUGCUGUAUCGCCAAAUGUGAACAUCGUGGUUUCAACGGGCAAGCAACCAUCAUCAGAAAACUCUGCAGGUAUCAGUGAAGCUGUCCCUGUUCCCCUUGCUGCCAACUUGUUCCUUUUGAGUGUAAGAAAUAACUUAGCUAAGCCAUGUGUUUAUCAUUUGUGCCAUUUUUCUCUUGUGUGUGAUUUAGAUUGUAUAGUUUUAUACUUUAUACUGAAUUCUUGCCAUAAACUUAGAUAUUCCCCUUUUAUUUAACAAGUAUUGAUCUUUCAUGCUCAGGAAUUGCUUCCAACAACCUUUUGUUUUAUGUAAUAGUCUUUAUCUGCAUUAAAGUCUUGGGGUUGUGAGGAGCAGUGUUGCAGCAUGGAGACGAGGUAGAGCUGCACUGAUGAAUGCCCAGCUUUCCACUGUGCUGUUUUGCUGAAUAUGAGGAACUUCCUAAGUCUGCUGUUUUCUUGUCUACUAAACAACUGCGGGUAUCAGUGUAGCUUUACCUAGUCUCUAUGCUGCUAACCUGCUUCUCACAACCGCAAGACUUAUAAGUUACCAGGUAAGCCAAUAUAUGUCAUAGUUUCUUGUAACUGAAUUAAAUUUGAAAUGAAGUAGCACAAUUUAUAACAAAAAAAAUAUCUUUGUGAUGGCCUGUUAACUUUCUUAAAAUCAAUUAUGAGACUGACAGAAAUACACUAGGUAUUUAUACAGCAUGUUUUGGAAGAAGUGUCAGGAUGGUGAUGGAAAGAUUCUGUAUGUAUAGAAGACAAGUUAAAUAGAAGAAGGUAUAAAAAUAAAUAUUCUAUAUUUUUAUUAUCCAUUUUGAUACCAUAUACAUGUACAUUAAAAAUAUGAAAAUUA